GACGAACGCUGGCGGCGUGCCUAAUACAUGCAAGUAGAACGCUGAAGGAGGAGCUUGCUUCUCCGGAUGAGUUGCGAACGGGUGAGUAACGCGUAGGUAACCUGCCUGGUAGCGGGGGAUAACUAUUGGAAACGAUAGCUAAUACCGCAUAACAGUAGAUAUUGCAUGAUAUCUGCUUGAAAGGUGCAAUUGCAUCACUACCAGAUGGACCUGCGUUGUAUUAGCUAGUUGGUGAGGUAACGGCUCACCAAGGCGACGAUACAUAGCCGACCUGAGAGGGUGAUCGGCCACACUGGGACUGAGGCACGGCCCAGACUCCUACGGGAGGCAGCAGUAGGGAAUCUUCGGCAAUGGACGGAAGUCUGACCGAGCAACGCCGCGUGAGUGAAGAAGGUUUUCGGAUCGUAAAGCUCUGUUGUAAGAGAAGAACGAGUGUGAGAGUGGAAAGUUCACACUGUGACGGUAUCUUACCAGAAAGGGACGGCUAACUACGUG
This 495-nucleotide ribosomal RNA is filed under the name uncultured bacterium. RNAcentral's name for it is "partial 16S ribosomal RNA". It matches the Rfam family "Bacterial small subunit ribosomal RNA", at positions 28 to 507 of the family's 1533-position model. The record is from RNAcentral.